CGGAGGUUGCAGUGAGCCGCGAUCGUGCCACUACUCUCCAGCCUGGGUAACAGAGUGAGACUUCAUCUAAAAAAAAAACUUAUACUUACUAGAGCCCAAAAAGGCAUUCUUCUAUGUCCCCUCUGCUCCCCAGGUUCCAUCUUAGCCCACAUCCAGAAGCAAAAGCACUUCAAUGAGCGAGAAGCCAGCCGAGUGGUGCGGGACGUUGCUGCUGCCCUUGACUUCCUGCAUACCAAAGGCAUUGCUCAUCGUGAUCUGAAACCAGAAAAUAUAUUGUGUGAAUCUCCAGAAAAGGUGUCUCCAGUGAAAAUCUGUGACUUUGACUUGGGCAGUGGGAUGAAACUGAACAACUCCUGUACCCCCAUAACCACACCAGAGCUGACCACCCCAUGUGGCUCUGCAGAAUACAUGGCCCCUGAGGUAGUGGAGGUCUUCACGGACCAGGCCACAUUCUACGACAAGCGCUGUGACCUGUGGAGCCUGGGCGUGGUCCUCUACAUCAUGCUGAGUGGCUACCCGCCCUUCGUGGGUCACUGCGGGGCUGACUGUGGCUGGGACCGGGGCGAGGUCUGCAGGGUGUGCCAGAACAAGCUGUUUGAAAGCAUCCAGGAAGGCAAGUAUGAGUUUCCUGACAAGGACUGGGCACACAUCUCCAGUGAGGCCAAAGACCUCAUCUCCAAGCUCCUGGUGCGAGAUGCAAAGCAGAGACUUAGCGCCGCCCAAGUUCUGCAGCACCCAUGGGUGCAGGGGGAACAGCAGCACAAUGGACCUGACACUCUUCGCAGCUGAGGCCAU
Molecule: small RNA, 795 nt
Filed under: Pan troglodytes (chimpanzee)
Lineage: Eukaryota; Metazoa; Chordata; Mammalia; Primates; Hominidae
Description: retained intron
Source: RNAcentral